This 440-nucleotide ribosomal RNA is filed under the name uncultured bacterium. RNAcentral describes it as "partial 16S ribosomal RNA". It matches the Rfam family "Bacterial small subunit ribosomal RNA", at positions 338 to 795 of the family's 1533-position model. The record is from RNAcentral.
CCUACGGGAGGCAGCAGUGGGGAAUAUUGCACAAUGGGGGAAACCCUGAUGCAGCGACGCCGCGUGAGUGAAGAAGGAUUUCGGUAUGUAAAGCUCUAUCAGCAGGGAAGAAAAUGACGGUACCUGAGUAAGAAGCCCCGGCUAACUACGUGCCAGCAGCCGCGGUAAUACGUAGGGGGCAAGCGUUAUCCGGAUUUACUGGGUGUAAAGGGAGCGGAGACGGCAGCACAAGACUGGAGUGAAAUGCCGGGGCUUAACCCCGGACCUGCUUUGGAAACUGUGCAGCGAGAGUGCAGGAGAGGUAAGUGUAAUUCCUAGUGUAGCGGUGAAAUGCGUAGAUAUUAGGAGGAACACCAGUGGCGAAGGCGGCUUACUGGACUGUAACUGACGUUGAGGCUCGAAAGCGUGGGGAGCAAACAGGAUUAGAUACCCCAGUAGUC